Molecule: ribosomal RNA, 253 nt
Filed under: uncultured bacterium
Lineage: Bacteria
Description: partial 16S ribosomal RNA
Rfam family: Bacterial small subunit ribosomal RNA
Source: RNAcentral
UACGGAGGGAGCUAGCGUUGUUCGGAAUUACUGGGCGUAAAGCGCACGUAGGCGGCUUUUUAAGUCAGGGGUGAAAUCCCGGAGCUCAACUCCGGAACUGCCCUUGAAACUGGGAAGCUAGAAUCUUGGAGAGGCGAGUGGAAUUCCGAGUGUAGAGGUGAAAUUCGUAGAUAUUCGGAAGAACACCAGUGGCGAAGGCGACUCGCUGGACAAGUAUUGACGCUGAGGUGCGAAAGCGUGGGGAGCAAACAGG